RNAcentral lists this ribosomal RNA (476 nucleotides) under uncultured organism. Its description in RNAcentral is "partial 16S ribosomal RNA". It matches the Rfam family "Bacterial small subunit ribosomal RNA", at positions 334 to 801 of the family's 1533-position model. The record is from RNAcentral.
CACUCCUGCGGGAGGCAGCAGUGGGGAAUAUUGCACAAUGGGCGCAAGCCUGAUGCAGCCAUGCCGCGUGUAUGAAGAAGGCCUUCGGGUUGUAAAGUACUUUCAGCGGGGAGGAAGGCGAUAAGGUUAAUAACCUUGUCGAUUGACGUUACCCGCAGAAGAAGCACCGGCUAACUCCGUGCCAGCAGCCGCGGUAAUACGGAGGGUGCAAGCGUUAAUCGGAAUUACUGGGCGUAAAGCGCACGCAGGCGGUCUGUCAAGUCGGAUGUGAAAUCCCCGGGCUCAACCUGGGAACUGCAUUCGAAACUGGCAGGCUAGAGUCUUGUAGAGGGGGGUAGAAUUCCAGGUGUAGCGGUGAAAUGCGUAGAGAUCUGGAGGAAUACCGGUGGCGAAGGCGGCCCCCUGGACAAAGACUGACGCUCAGGUGCGAAAGCGUGGGGAGCAAACAGGAUUAGAAACCCUUGUAGUCCCAUGAU